AUUCCUUGGGGAAAAAAAAUCCUUUUCAAGGAGGUACUCCUAGAUAGCACUUAAUAGAAUCACCUUCCACCAGGAGGAGCACCACAAUUGUUGCAACAGCUUAAGCCCUGUUAGAAGGGUUGUUUUUUAAGCCACAGUUGCAGUUAUGUUGGCCUAAGGCCCUGAGAAUGAGAGGAGAAUGGAAGAAGAGCUAUUCCUGUAUACACCCCCUGUGCCUGCCCUACAUGGAUCACCACAAGAACACAAGUCGCAAU
This 254-nucleotide long non-coding RNA is filed under the name Amborella trichopoda. Its description in RNAcentral is "long non-coding RNA (ATRI_LNC005387)". Lineage: Eukaryota; Viridiplantae; Streptophyta; Magnoliopsida; Amborellales; Amborellaceae. The record is from RNAcentral.